RNAcentral lists this ribosomal RNA (506 nucleotides) under Orisarma dehaani. RNAcentral describes it as "Chiromantes dehaani partial large subunit ribosomal RNA". The stretch from base 382 to 506 matches the Rfam family "Bacterial large subunit ribosomal RNA", at positions 2473 to 2597 of the family's 2925-position model. Lineage: Eukaryota; Metazoa; Arthropoda; Malacostraca; Decapoda; Sesarmidae. The record is from RNAcentral.
CUGCCCACUGAUAAAUUUUUUAAAGGGCCGCGGUAUUCUGACUGUGCAAAGGUAGCAUAAUCGUUAGUUUUUUAAUUGGAAUCUUGUAUGAAUGGUUUGACAAAAGAAAAUCUGUCUUUAUAAUUAUUUAUUGAAUUUAACUUUUAAGUGAAAAGGCUUAAAUAAAUUAAAAAGACGAUAAGACCCUAUAAAGCUUAAUAUUAAAUUUUUAUUUAAUUAAAUUUUAAAUUAUAAUAAAGAUUUGGUAAAUAAAUUUUAUUUUGUUGGGGUGAUAAUGGUAAAAUGAUUAUUAACUGUUAAUUUUUUUAGACAAAAAUAAAUGAAUAAUAAUUUGUUGUAAAGGAUCCUGUAUUAAAGAUUAAAAGUUUAAGUUACUUUAGGGAUAACAGCGUUAUUUUUUUUGAGAGUUCUUAUCGAGAAAAAAGUUUGCGACCUCGAUGUUGAAUUAAAAUAUCUAUAUAAUUGUAGCAGUUAUAUAAGAAGGUCUGUUCGACCUUUAAAAUUUU